UACAGAGGUCCCAAGCGUUGUUCGGAUUCACUGGGCGUAAAGGGUGCGUAGGCGGUCGGGUAAGUCUGACGUGAAAUCUUCAAGCUCAACUUGGAAACUGCGUCGGAUACUAUUCGGCUAGAGGAAUGGAGGGGAGACUGGAAUACUUGGUGUAGCAGUGAAAUGCGUAGAUAUCAAGUGGAACACCAGUGGCGAAGGCGGCGACUUGGGUAGAUACUGACGCUGAGGUGCGAAAGCGUGGGGAGCAAACAGG
RNAcentral lists this ribosomal RNA (253 nucleotides) under uncultured bacterium. RNAcentral describes it as "partial 16S ribosomal RNA". It matches the Rfam family "Bacterial small subunit ribosomal RNA", at positions 524 to 776 of the family's 1533-position model. The record is from RNAcentral.